RNAcentral lists this long non-coding RNA (212 nucleotides) under Elaeis guineensis (African oil palm). Its description in RNAcentral is "long non-coding RNA (EGUI_LNC059575)". The record is from RNAcentral. Lineage: Eukaryota; Viridiplantae; Streptophyta; Magnoliopsida; Arecales; Arecaceae.
UUUAGGUUAGAAGGAGUGCUUCUUUUAUAGUUCCUAUUUUACUAUCGAGGACUGGAGAUUUUCUUGUUGGGGCUGAUCUAGGGAGUCUGCCCUCCGAGCUCCUGCACCAGAGGAUAUGAAAUUUUGAUCUCCUACACUGGGGAUGCAGAAACUCAAUACUUUAACACCUUGUGUGGGUAUAAGAUUCUGCUACUUUCAUAGCCGCUAUUGGA